This 9005-nucleotide unclassified non-coding RNA is filed under the name Limulus polyphemus (Atlantic horseshoe crab). Its description in RNAcentral is "mucin-17-like, transcript variant X5". Lineage: Eukaryota; Metazoa; Arthropoda; Merostomata; Xiphosura; Limulidae. The record is from RNAcentral.
AUCAAACUUUCCCGAGUGUGGUUUUAUUCAAAUGACAACUAAAUAAAAACUAAACUGAACGUCAGCAAUAGCCAACUGUCCUUGGAAAAUGAAAUUUUAAAGAAACUUCUCACUCGGGCAGGAACUAGCUAAUAUUUAACUAUCCUUGCAUUAUCGGAUUCGUUCAUUUCUUUCUUCAACCCUUUCAAGGCAGCUUUAGGUCGUUCUUGGAAGCAUUUACCGAGGGAAUUAGUGCGUGCGUGACAUCACCUCUUCGGCUGGCGCACGCCCAAUGUAGCCCGAAAAUCGCUCCUAGCCAAUCCCCGCUAAGAACGCUCGAACAACACGACAUUUGCCGCCAGAGCACGAGCGCCACUCUGCCGGCACGCCGAAGACUUCAGUCAAUACUGAAGCUUCAAUGGGCGAGUCGACUAAUAGCAGGAAGGGGGUGUACAGUGUAGGGCGAGACGAAAAAAAAACCAAGAGCGAACCGGUUCCUUCUUCCUAAAACUUCGUAAAACUGAACCUCCCACUAUCGGAGGACAGGCAGUAGUCGCCCGUGUCGCGCACCGGAUACGAGAUAGCGUGCGGAACCCGUUAUUGGCAGACAGCAGCAGGCUAACUGCACCAGAAGAGAAGGAGUGGCAACAAGCUGUAGUCGUCAUUGUGUGAGUUGUGUUUUAACGUGAAAGUUUGUAGUUGUUUUUCUCGGUGUUUAUCUUCGACUUGUUUUCAUCAAUUUCCAUGUUACAGACAUCGAACUGACUGUAGACCUUAGUUUUUCCCUUCAUCCGCUGCGAACUGGUACAACAUGGUAAAAAUGACAAGAGUCCAGUGAUGCAAAACUAAAAUGUCCAUAGAAACUUCACAACUUUCCAAUAUUUGUGCUUCUUCGCCGGCCGACUCGGUGGGGUAACGCUACGGUUGUUAUUAAGAGGAUGGAAAGUCGGUCCGACUUCUCGCUCGAACGAUCACGGCUGUUGGGCGGCGCGGGACUUCACGCAGCCCAUGGCUUUCCCGUAGAUGCUCCAUCGCCGCACCCGACUCCUCUACGAGCCGCAUUUCUUGAUAUGAAUCGAACGGGCGCAGCUACAGACCCAGCGUCUCUCUCAGCGUACCACAGUCGUUUUCUCCAGGCCACUCUGCCAUUAGGCAACAAUGGGACCAGUUAUUCUUACCUGAGUGGCAUAUACAGCAGUAAUUUUCCUUCUCAGUCCACCUCAACAUUCAGAGCGCCACCUACAGGAAUAAUAAUGAGGCAGUUUUGGCCCCCUACACCCCCACCAGAUAAUUAUAGCAGGUAUGCCAUGGGUAGUAGCCUCUACACAAUGUUCCCACCUCUUGUCCCAUCUACAGACCCUAACCCUUACUCCAGUCAAGGUUACAUUUCUCGGUUGGGUCAAUCCCCUGCACACUACAGUUCCCUUCUAGAAGCUACACACAAAGAACCCACGUACUUAUCUCCAGGUUUAGCUCUUGCUUCUCCUCUAACACUGACCAAUCAUGUGGGUCACACUACUCCCGUACCUUCUCUUACUCCGGCUCUUGACCGCCAUCCAGGAUUCAGUCACCUGGGGCUAGGGAUGAAAGGGUUGGAAGUUGGGAGGCGCUCUCUGAUGGUGGAGGAUGAUUUCCGAAGGGUUGAACGAGGAGCAGAAGAACUUGAGGGAUUCCUGAAGCGAGAAUCAUCAAGUAUUAGUUGUCAUCACAAUGCUGAACGAGCAAGACUUGGUCUAACUGGUUUAGACUCUCAUGUAAGAGCUGUUGAAAAACAAUCCAAUUCAUCCACUAUUCUUGGGUCACGGGAAAAAUUACCUGAGAGCAGGAAUAAACAACGUGAGGAAAGACUCAAAGAAAGACAACAAUGCUCUGAACCAGAAACACAUCAUUUGGAAGGUAGGCUGGCAAAUGGAAACAUACCACAAGUUAAAGGAGCUAAACCCAGCAAAUCUCGAAGUGUAACAUUAAGGAGUGAAGCUGAUAAAAUUAGCAAGGAAAAGAAAUGUUCUUGGUGCUCAGCAAGUUUAAAUGACAAUACAGAAGUUGUUGAAAACCCUCACUGCAUAACAAAACAAGUAACUAAGAUAAAAAGCACAAAUCGUCAGGAGUUUAGGGAAGAACCUGUGUCUGUUGCCCAGAGAAUAGUUUCUGCCUCAUGUGUCACUACAGCUCUUGGCACAUCUAGUGACACUGUAGCAACCACAACAGUGACAUUCACAGGACACCGUGCAACAUCAUCUCUGGCUACUUCAGACAAACCUCCACAUCAAGGGGCAGCAAACACUACUGUUGUGUCUUCACCAUGCCAUGUGACCAUCACACCACAUGUUACAACGUUGCCCCUACCUUGUUCAGUGCCUGUUGACAAUUUAAGGUUAUCAAUAAACUCUUCACAGAUGAAAGAAAAAGCAAGGGUUACUAGCCUUCCAAGUAAUAAUCAAAGUCAUGUUUCUCAAACUGCACAAUCCCAAAGCAAGCCAGAGUCUGAAAAUGACACAUUGAGUCUAUCAAACAGCCAGGAAAAUCAGAUAGCAGACUUAACACAUCAGUGUUAUGAAACAGUUCAGAUAGUCCAUCCACAAGUUCGUGAAGGUCGAAGUGGGCAGAAUAGCUCACUGUCUAGUCAGAAAAGCAAACUAACAGCUGCUGAAGUCAAACAAAAAUCUCUGGUAGACCCAUUGAGUAGGUCUUGUUCUGUGGCUUUGUCCUCAGAAGCUACUUCAUAUUCAUUGACGAGUGAAAAUUCCCCAAUAGUAACAAGUGAACAGAAGAACCACAAAUCUUCUGUCUUACCAACUGGAAUUCACAUAAAGCAAGAAAGGAUGGAUGGGGAGGAGUACUGUUCAAUGAAUAAAUUGUACAGUUAUUGUGGAAAUUCAAGUGCACUAAGAAAUGACAUGACCGAAGAAGACCAUGGUGUCAUCAACUUAAGUAUCCCACGCCGAGUACCUAAACAGGAACCGUCAGACUUUGCCUUACCUUGCCAAAUGUUAUCAGAAUCUAUGCCAAGGAUUGGAUUAUCUCCAGAAAAUGUUCAGCCGGACUUUGUGUCAUCUCAUAGCCUCACAGCAUUAGCAAACAUUGCUAGUGGGUCUUCAUCUGUGACAAAAUCACCACUACAAAAAAAUGAUUUGGUUCAUGUGACCAACCAGACAGGAGAAAAACCAAAACCUACUGGAAAGAUCCAACAAUCCAUGGUAUCAUUAAGAUUUCAGUUGGCGAGUAACCCAGAAGUCACUUCUGCCUUCUCUCAGGUGACAACAUCUUUAUCUGCUUCCCAGACACCAGUCUCCUGUAAUGUCCAGUCAAUGCCAUCCAGCCAAACUGGCUCAACAAGCCAACAAGCUGUGCCUAUUUCUUCCAAAGGAUCUAAUUUUUUUGAUGCCAUUACAACUGUUGGAAGUAUUACACACCACCAUAGAAUAUCCUCUACAAAAUCUUGUACUUCUGUGGCUGGAUCUAUUUCUUUGCCACCUUCUACUGGUGUUUGCCCAUCUGUUAGUUCUUGUCCAUCUACCUGUAGUUCCACAACGUCAUCCUUUCCUUCCACUGUGAACUCGAAUAUCCCAGUUGGAAUAGCAGUGGCUCAACAGAGACAGGUUCUUACAACAACUUCAGGCAUUAAAGGUGGACCACCGUUUUUACCAAAUACUAGUCGAAACAGAUCAUUAGUUGUUUCUUCUACAUCAGCUGGAAAUUCAGAUAAUUAUGUUCCAGAAAAAGAAGGGUUCCUCCAGGGGUCAAAAGAGCUGUCUUCGGGCCCAGACAUACAGCAACAUUCUACUGAACUAAACUUGAAUAAUACUACCACGUGUAUAUUGGGUCAAGAUGUAAAUCCACCAGUUACCCACUGGGAACAGGACUCUAUUGUGCACACUCCAUUACCACAACAAUGGGUUACCCCAAGCCCUGUGGUGGGGCCUACAGUAUGGCUUAGUCAGAAUAUGUACAAUCCCACUCCAGCUCCACAGCCCCCACCUCCAACUGCUGUACCUUAUCCUGUAGACCCGUCUCAUGUUCCCAUACCACCUGGUGGAUAUCAAGUUUACAGAGAUCCACUUACUAAUCAGAUUUUUCUUCUACCAACAACAAACAUCGAAAUUGUAGAUCGAGCUGGUAUUUGGACAGAUUACACAGCUCCCCCUUGUGGCACACCAGUACAGCAGGUAUUUGCAACUCAACCACAAGCCCCACCAUUCCAAUCUCAAGUCAUGCAAGAGGAAAACCAGCUGAAACAUCAGACAGCUCAAAGCCAAAAUCUGUCUGUGUCCAACAACUGCUUUUCCACAAGAGAGGACUCGGAAGGGGAGGAGAGAGAUGAAUCAACAAAAAAUGUCUACCAAGAUGAACACAUUAAGGAUAAGACAGAAGAAAAAUUAUGCAGUGACGCCUCUCAACCUCUUGGUUCCUGCUCAACAGUUCCUUACCCAGCAUUCCCUCAGCCUAGUGCUCCAGCUGCUCUUUCAUAUUUUUAUGAAGCCUCCACUAUCGUUCAUCUUACCCAAACCCAGUCAACAACUGCCAUACAGACUGAGCCAGGAAAGCGUUCGCAGGGAACUUCUCCAAUGAAUCCUGUUACCCCAUCACCUCCUAUACCGUCAGAUUCUGAUCAAGGUGUCCAAGCAUCAUGUGAUGAUGGAGAAGACAGUGGAGAGAAUGAUGAAGAUGGAGAGGAAGAAGUUAGUCAAGAUACAAACGAAGUGGAACAACAUAGUCAUACUAUCAGUGUUACAGCAGCAAUCCAAGUAGAUAUGGAUUGUCAGACAAAUUCAGAUGAUACUGAUGUAGAAGAACGUGCUGUGGAGGUCAUUGAUUCUGCUAACCAAACCGACAGUCUUUUAAUGGGUGUAGUCAAGGAUUGUUCUACGAGUGGUGAAGAUGAAUCAUGUGAUAUCCCUCGGACUGCGACACCUUCUCUUACAGAAAUUGCUUCUGUUGCUGAUAACGAUGAUUCAGAAAGUCAAUUAGUCCAGAAACCUGUUUCUAUUGAUGCUGAGAUUUUUGAAGGAGACUCUACACCAGUGCUAUCAGCAGAAAGCCAACCAGUAAUGGAUUUCAUUGAUCACCAUGGAUUAAACCUCUUGGUCGAUAGCAUUGAAGAGUUUGCUUCACGUGUACAAGAAGAGAAUAAUACAGAGAUGGGCAGGCUACAGAUAGACAGUUCAGGUGAUGACUAUAGUACAGUAGGAGGAGAAGCUGGGAAUAUAAAUGUUAUAGUCAAUGACAAUGUGAAGCCAACAAGGGAUUCUGUGUAUUCAAACUCAGACUCUUUGUCAAGAAACAUUGACCCAUCUUGUACUGAUGGUUUAGGAUUGCUCUGUGCUCUCGCAGAACAAAGAUUUUUGGAAGAGUCUAUGAGUUCACAGGUCCCAGAGACAGGGUUGAACUUGAGUUUAAAACAUGAACAGGGAGAUGACAUUGACCAAACUUAUGAAGAAUCCAAUAAACAUAACAAGAGUCAUAACUCUAAAAGCCCUUCACAAGUGUAUGCUUUCAGCAGCAACUCAUCGUCACCAUUUUAUACUUUAGGCAGUCCAUUACAUGCUGGCAACAUUCCCGAAACAAUGGAUGCUGCUGAAUUGGAGAUGAAGCUACAGUUAGCAGAAUUGCAAAAGAAGUACAAAUUAAAACAAAGAGAACUGGCCAAACUACAACCAAAAAAAGAAAAAGAAGAACCAGAAUUAUUUCCUAUUAAAAGACGACCAGGACGUCCACGGAAAAGACAAUUCAUGCUACUAAAACCAAAGAACUUAAAGACCUCUCCCAUAUCUUUUGGAGAUAGCUCUUCUGAAUAUGUUCCAGAACUUUAUUCCUCAACACCAGCUGCUCUUUCUGUCCAACCAUCCACCUUUCCUGAGUCCAUUAUACCUGAUGUACUUCCUUCUACAGAGACUUCUUUUGAACCAUCAGAGCCACUUAGGAAGAAGAAAAAGAAACAUUCUGCCUUAAGAAACAGAACUAGUGUAGAAAGAAGUCAGACAGCAAAAAAGUCCAAGCAAAACAAACUGUCUACAAAGGGUCGCUCUAGCGAACUGAUUAUGAAAAAGAAAGCAAACACCAAAGUGAAAAAAUCAAAUUUGAAAUUACAAAUGGGAAAAGUAUCUGAAACAUUUUCUGAACAUCAGACAGAAAAGACCCAGUUAUCACCCACAAGCCAAGAAGAACAUAACCUUGUAAAUGAUUGUAGAGUCCCUAACCUUGUAACUGAUUGUAGAUCCCUCAAGACAGAUGAAACCUUGGAAAAUAUAGGUGCUUCGACACCAGAUGACACUGCUACUAAAUCACUGAAACAAAAGAAUAAAACUGAAACAAAAACUACAGAGAGUGAACCAGGAAAAGAAGACUUUUCGAAACAGAGAACAGAGUCACCCAGUAACAAGCAAGGAUCUUUUAAGCUACAAUCAUCAAAAGUAAAAAAGAAUCAAAAUAAAAGAUCGAUCGAAAAUAAGAAUCCAUUUCUUAUGUCAAAACAGGAAUCUUUAUCAAGUGAUUCAAAUGUUACAGAAGAUCCACAUGAACAAUUUGUGGCACAAGUAAACAUUUCCCCUACCACACCUGAAAAAGACACCAAAAGGAAGUUGGAGCUAGGUGAGAGUGAAUGUAACACUUCUGAUACAGAGGUCUCUUCAGCCAAAAAACGAAAGCCUGGCAGGCCCAAGAAACAUUCUUUAUCUAAAUCAGAUGAGGCGACAGAAACCAUUGUUCCCAAACAACCAAAGAAGCUAGCUUUUCUGAAGGCUGAAGCAAAGAGAGUUAAAAAUUCACUAAGUAGAACAAAGAACUGUGUUGAAUUAGAAUCGGUAACAUCAUUCUUUGAGGAAGAUAUCUGGUUUCGUCGCCGCAGUGAGAGAAUUUUUCUUCAUGAUGCUGGAGUUGUUCCUGGAGCCAUUUCUCUCUGGCAAGGAGAAAGUUUAAAUACUUCAGUUGCAAAUGACAAGAACUUAUCAACAACUGAAACCAAAAAAUCUGAGGCACAAACAGAAAGCAAGUCUGAAACAACAUCAAAAAUUCAUAGAAACAUUAACAAAUCUGGAGAGGUUUCUCAUAAGAAGAAAACAAAGAUUAGAAAAGAUCCAGAGUCAACAAGCAAAAAACUUAAAACUAAAACAAAGGAGUCAAAGAGACAGCAAACAAAGGAAAAGUUGGUUCCGGAUGAACUGUUUGCUGCUUUAAAGAAGUGUCGGCUUAGUGAAAGUAACCAAGGAGGGGUAACUCCUCGUCAUUCAACGGAUCAGGAAAAUGCUGAAAGUAGUGAAGGCGAUAAUCUUCCUUUGAGUGUUUUGAUUGAGAAAACAUCUAAUCCAGUAAUAAGAUCCUGCAUCCUGCAACCAGAAGAGCUAGAUGAUCAGCUUCGAGUUUUAACAAUGGAUAACGGACUAUUUUAUGCAGGAACCAUUAAAGCUAUUCGUGCUCCUGAUGUAUAUGGUAUAACCAGAGAUGGAGAACGAGGUAACAGACCUCACAUUUAUUCCCGGGAGGAAAUUUUAAAUGAAGCUAUUGUUGAGGUGAAGCCAAAUUCCCUAAAUAACCUACCAGAGGGUCAGAGGGUCUGUGCAUUCUGGAGUCAGCAAUAUCGAUGCAUGUAUCCUGGAACUGUAGCUAAAUCAUCCAGUCCAAACUGUGAUUCGGAUCAAGACACGGUGUACGUAGAAUUUGAUGAUGGAGAUUCUGGCCGAAUACCUUUGAAAGACAUAUGUAUGCUUCCACCAGAUUAUCCAAUCGUGUGUAAGUUUACAACAGUUGAUUCCAAUCCUCUAAUGCUGCUUGGAAAACGUAGACAGCACAGACUUUCAGGGGAAAGUGUCACAGACAGUUCGGUUAAUGCAUUGGCUCCCAGUGGAGAAAAAGUUAAAACAAAAAAGAAUAAAAAUAAAUCAAAGUCAGGAAAAAAAAAAAGUUGCAGCUCACGAGGCCAGAAUACCCAAGACCAUUCACAAUUAAAUGAUGUAUUUCAUUCAGAAAAUAUCUCGUCGUUGUCAUCUGUCAUCAGUACAGUUGAAUCACAAAGUACACUCUACACUGUAGAUACACUUUCCAUUACAGCAACAAGAAGCAUGAAAUCUUCUUCAGGGAAGGAAAAGGAGAAAAACUCCCAGAAAAAGAAAUCAAAGAAAAGCAAAAGUGAAUCCAAGAGCAAAGUAAAAGAUAAAUCAAGAGAAAAGGAAUCACAUCACAUUGGCAGUUCAUCCGAAGCAAGUGUGUGUGGUCCUCCGUCACUAAAAUCAAGAAAGCACAAAAAACAUAAAGAUGAUCAUAAACGUCGGCAUCGCCACCAUCAUCACCAUUGUCAUCAUCAUCACCAUCAUAAAAAACACAAGCACGAAAAACGAAGCCACCCAAGCAGCCCUGAACAUUCCCAUUCUCCAUCCUCAUCGAGCAGCGAUGCCAAUACACCAAAUGUUAUACCAACAACUGUUGAACAGAGCACUAAAAGUGGAGAAGAAAGAACUCAAAAAUCACCACAAGCAGAAACACCCAGCUCUAGUACAGAAAAUAAGAAGUCACAGCUGAUGGUGAAGAUAAGAACGAAUUCCACAGACAUUUCUCAAGAAGACAAGAAAGAAAAGAAUGAGAAGGAAACAAACAAAAAUGCUGAUCCAGAAUCUUCCUCAGUUAGUAGCAGUGAUAGCUCAGAGAGUUUAAACAUUACUGAUGAGGAAGAGACAACAAAAACACUUUGUGCCAUUGAAGAGAAAUCUCAGAAUAAGAAAGUGAAGACUAAGAAAUCCAAUGAAAAGAAAAAGCGAAAAGAUCGUCUCCCCUCAGUUGAAAAAAGUAAAAUAGCAGCAACUCUGGCGGUGGGCUGGGAAAAGUUUCCGACGAGCCAACACUAAAGGAAAGGCAAAGAAAGAGUUUUUCAAGGCCAUCACCAGGGGGAAAGAGACAAUAAAGGUUGGCGACUGUGCUGUAUUCCUGUCCACAGGAAGACCCCAUCUACCAUAUAUUGGAAGAAUCGAGACCAUGUGGCAGUCGUGGGGAGGCAACAUGGUGGUGAAGGUGAAAUGGUUUUAUCACCCAGAAGAAAC